UACGGGGGGGCGAGCGUUGUUCGGAAUUACUGGGCGUAAAGGGUUUGUAGGUGGCCUGCUAAGUCAGACGUGAAAUCCCUCAGCUUAACUGGGGAACUGCGUCUGAUACUGGCGGGCUUGAGGACAGGAGAGGAACGCGGAAUUCCAGGUGUAGCGGUGAAAUGCGUAGAUAUCUGGAGGAACACCGGUGGCGAAGGCGGCGUUCUGGACUGUUUCUGACACUGAAAAACGAAAGCCAGGGGAGCAAACGGG
RNAcentral lists this ribosomal RNA (252 nucleotides) under uncultured bacterium. RNAcentral's name for it is "partial 16S ribosomal RNA". It matches the Rfam family "Bacterial small subunit ribosomal RNA", at positions 524 to 776 of the family's 1533-position model. The record is from RNAcentral.